GUGCCAGCAGCCGCGGUAAUACGGAGGGUGCGAGCGUUAAUCGGAAUUACUGGGCGUAAAGGGUGCGUAGGCGGUUGAAUCAGUCGGAUGUGAAAGCCCCGGGCUUAACCUGGGAAUUGCAUUCGAUACUGUUCGGCUAGAGUACGGUAGAGGGUGGUGGAACUCCAGGUGUAGCGGUGAAAUGCGUAGAUAUCUGGAAGAACACCAGUGGCGAAGGCGGCCACCUGGAUCGUAACUGACGCUGAGGCACGAAAGCGUGGGGAGCAAACAGGAUUAGAUACCCUGGUAGUCCACGCCCUAAACGAUGAGAACUAGCCGCUGGAAGGAUUAACUUUUCAGUGGCGUAGCUAACGCGUUAAGUUCUCCGCCUGGGGAGUACGGCCGCAAGGUUGAAACUUAAAGGAAUUGGCGG
This 412-nucleotide ribosomal RNA is filed under the name uncultured bacterium. RNAcentral's name for it is "bacterial SSU rRNA". It matches the Rfam family "Bacterial small subunit ribosomal RNA", at positions 505 to 916 of the family's 1533-position model. The record is from RNAcentral.